This 253-nucleotide ribosomal RNA is filed under the name uncultured bacterium. Its description in RNAcentral is "partial 16S ribosomal RNA". It matches the Rfam family "Bacterial small subunit ribosomal RNA", at positions 524 to 776 of the family's 1533-position model. The record is from RNAcentral.
UACAGAGGGUGCAAGCGUUGUUCGGAAUUAUUGGGCGUAAAGCGCGUGUAGGCGGCUUUGCAAGUCGGGUGUGAAAGCCCUCAGCUUAACUGAGGAAGUGCGCCCGAAACUGCAGAGCUUGAGUACCGGAGAGGAUGGCGGAAUUCCCCAAGUAGAGGUGAAAUUCGUAGAUAUGGGGAGGAACACCGGUGGCGAAGGCGGUUGCCUGGGGCUUUGCUGACGCUGAUGCGCGAAAGCGUGGGGAGCGAUCCGG